Mauremys mutica (yellowpond turtle) is the source of this 586-nucleotide long non-coding RNA. RefSeq lists it as uncharacterized. The record is from RefSeq and is a predicted model, not a curated record. The transcript has 3 exons. Lineage: Eukaryota; Metazoa; Chordata; Testudines; Geoemydidae.
AGCUGUAGGAGUGUGGAUGCUGGGUGUCUGGCUGAUGAAUCUGCAGAACCCCGGACAGGGCAGUGCUGCCAGAAGCUGGUGAGCAUUAGAAGGAGCCCUGAGCUGGUUGCUGGGACUCCAUUAGGACAAGGUCCUGAGAACUUGAGACCUCUGUUGCAGAAAACAGACCUAACAUGGAAUGGCAUAUUCUUGGCAGUGACCCAGGAGACAGUAAGAGAGCUGUAAAAGUAAUAAUGUGCUUUAUGAAGUUGUGGUCUUCAGAGUCUCCCACUCCAUAGUCACAGAACGCCUGAGCCAGAUAACGAGGAUAGAGAAAAGGACUUGGGAUGACAUGUUCCAGGAGAUCUUGGAAGCCAGUCCUGCAUCAGAGAACAAACACAGGGACUGGAGGAUGGUGCCCAGGCCCUGGGGGUGCUCAAAGCCCUGCUCUGCCCCAGGCCUCACCCCCACCUGACCCCUUCCCUCAAGUCCCCACCCCCGCCCAGCCUCUUCCCACCCUCGGCCCCACCCCCAUCCCUUCUCCCAAGUUCAGUGUUCAGUUAGGCCCAGCGCUUUGGCAUGAGUUGGCACCUGGACUGCCAGAGUC